GUGGUGGCACAUCUGUAAUCCCAGCAUUCUGAGAAAUUGGAACCAAGCGAAUCGAAAGUUCGAGCCCAGCCUGGGAAAUUUAGCAACUGAGCUAGACCUGAGUUCGAUCCCCAGGGUCUUACAGAGUAGCCACUGAGCAAGAGAAUACUAUAGUGAUAGGAGGGCCAUUCCUGAAGGACAAUGACAGAACUGCAGCUAAGGAGCAUCAAGGGCAGUGGUGCUCAAAGCGGUUUGCCUGGCCAGGAAGAUCAGCAUCUCCGGGGAACUUGUUAGAAACGCACGUGCUAAGGCCCACCUCGGACCUAAUGAAGCAGAAACUGCGGGUAGGGAUCAGCAAUCCGUUUCAGAGGCUCUCCAGGGGGAGCCACUACACAGCAAGGUUUGAGAAGCACUGACCUACAGACUUCCCCUUCGCCAGUGGGGAAAAAACCUGGAGGGCG
This 440-nucleotide long non-coding RNA is filed under the name Heterocephalus glaber (naked mole-rat). RNAcentral's name for it is "lncRNA (ENSHGLG00000050474.1)". The record is from RNAcentral. Lineage: Eukaryota; Metazoa; Chordata; Mammalia; Rodentia; Bathyergidae.